This 685-nucleotide long non-coding RNA is filed under the name Mus caroli (Ryukyu mouse). RNAcentral's name for it is "lncRNA (MGP_CAROLIEiJ_G0004154.1)". The record is from RNAcentral. Lineage: Eukaryota; Metazoa; Chordata; Mammalia; Rodentia; Muridae.
GGAAAACAGCAUCCGAGAUGGAGCUGUACAGAGGGAAGGGAGCAGCUGACACCUCCACACCGUCUCCCAUUAAAUACCAGCUCAUUUAAACAUAUCCCGUGGUGCCCUCCACAUCUGGAUUGAACUACAGCUGCCUGGUGUCGGCUUGCUGAAAGGACUGGACUGUAGCUGUCGGUUCGCUCCUGGUGUCUGCCUGCCUAGAGGACUGGUCUACAGCUGCUGAAUCAUAUUUGAUGUUUGCUACGGGACUGAACUGCUGCCCAAGAAGAUCAAGCUGAACAGAAACUUGGAACAGAAGACCGGAGCUUGCAAGUUGGUGAUGAGCACAGCCCAGCAUCUUACCAGCUGGUUGUAACUCUACACCAUUGCCCUUUGCCCACAAAAAGAAAACCUGAGUCUGUGACUACUUGUCUUUUAGAUGCUUUGAGGCAGAGUGACCAUGGGGACUUUCAGUGGCCUGGCCGCGGGUCCUCUUCUAGGCACCUUUUGUCGUGCCGUGUUCCCAAGCAUGGAAACCUAUUGGAAACCUUAGUCUGGAUGCACAGUGGAUGUGGAGGACACAUUAGCUCUCUCAUUUCCAUUCUCAUCAUUAAUGUUUAAUUGCACAACACCAGAGGCAGACUAUGUACCUAGCACCGAAACCUUGUCACCUCUAUUAAUUAAAACAGGCUUAUGGAAUAUGAAA